UACGGAGGGUGCGAGCGUUGUCCGGAAUCAUUGGGCGUAAAGGGCGCGUAGGUGGCCCGGUCAGUCAGUGGUGAAAGCGCGGGGCUCAACCCUGCGUCGGCCAUUGAUACUGCCGCGGCUGGAGCACUGUAGAGGCAGGCGGAAUUCCGGGUGUAGCGGUGGAAUGCGUAGAGAUCCGGAAGAACACCGGUGGCGAAGGCGGCCUGCUGGGCAGUUGCUGACACUGAGGCGCGACAGCGUGGGGAGCAAACAGG
Molecule: ribosomal RNA, 254 nt
Filed under: uncultured prokaryote
Description: partial 16S ribosomal RNA
Rfam family: Bacterial small subunit ribosomal RNA
Source: RNAcentral